UGGUCGUCGAAAUUUCUCUUUUGGAGCAGUCUCUUUGUUUAUAUUAUAAAACGUUUCAACAGAGUGGAAAUUCCAUUGGAAUUCUAUUGUGAAAAUUUGUCAAAUAACCAAGUUAACAUCGUCUAUGGAUUCAAAUGGCCGUAAUUAAAAUGAAAAAUAAAUAACGUAUAUAAAGAAAUAUUAAAAACUUACUAACAAUAAGUUAAAUGUAAAAAAUUCACAAGGUUUUCUUAUAUGGACAAAGGAGAAUAUAUUCACACUAGUCGCUGUCAUAUACAGUAUACGAAUGAGUACUGAAGAGACUGCGUGGUAUCAGCGGUCACCAAUAAUAGUUUAUAAAUAACACAGGAACAUACAAGACUAAUAAGACGUUACUUGUCGAAUUUUGAAAUUUUUGAAUUUUGAUAAUAAAUUAAAGUAUGAUGGAUCCAGCAAUUCGGUAUCACUUGCAAAAGACCAUUAAUUUGUGAUUUUAUAUGAAUCAUUUCAGACACUAUUCUUUUGUGGUAAUUUGUUUCAUGAUCUAAAAUUCUUUUGUUGUUUCAGUCAAAGGUGUGGUUUAGGUCCAUAAUAUGAGAGGAGAUAACUAAAUGUUUAGAAGCAUCAUAAUCAAUAUUUUUACUAUGUUCUUUCAUUCUUGUAUUUAGUUUCCUUUUGGUCUGGCCGACAUAAAAUGCAUCGCAGUCUUUACAAGCAAUUUUAUAUACGACAUUAUUCGUUGAUUCAACAGGGUUUUUUCUUUGUGUCGCCUGAUAAAGCCGGUUAAUUUGUUCAAACAUCUGUAUCCGAUUAAAAACUCAUUUUUGUCUAUAGGAGAUGUAACUACCUCAGAUACACUUUUAAUAUAAAAAAACGUGAUUCAAUACUUUUAACCGGAUUUCUCUUGACAAUCGAAUAUGUCGUCUUAUCAUUUAACAUAUUGAUUUUUUCAGUGUAACAUGUUUUGUCCAGUGCAACAGUAACAUUUCCUUUGUCAGCAUUAAUAAAAAUAAUGUCUGGAUUAUUCCGACAGAAUUGAAAAGUCGACUUAGACAAGCGAUUCAACUGUAAAUGUAAUUUAUUUAUUUGUUGUUUGUUAUCUAAAAAAUGAUUAAGUUGUGCAAUAACUGUGCUUCUACAGCUUUUAUUUUAUGUGUGAUACUCGCUCGCCGAAUGUUACUCUCGAAAUCCUUUAAUAUGAAUUCAAAAAUCGCGUCUUUUUUAUUCGAGCCGAUUUGAAGGCAAAAACCUGCACCAAGCUGUAAGAGGUUCAAAACUUCAUUUGGAAUCGCCUUUUCAGACAAGUUUAAGAACCACUUAGUGUCCAUAUAUUAUCAAUAGGACUGUUACUUGCAUGUGCAAAUUUUUCAGAUUUUAACGUAAUAUCACAAGUCAACGUGUCUAAAUCUGUACUGGUAAUAUUAGAACCAUAAGUCUUAACUUUUGUUAUAUCAUUAACAUUAACGUUAGCAUGGUACUAAUGGAUUUAAUCUUGAAAAUGACAUUCCGUUUCUCAGCAAGCAAUAAUCACGUUAGUUUAUCGUUGUUCUUAUUAAACAAUCUAUAGCGGUAAUUGUCAAAGGAUUUCGAGUGGUGUUUAAAAAUUUGAUUCCAGAUGUAAGUCGGCAACUCAUUAAAUAAAACUGUAGUUAACUCAUAUAACUCGUUAUUUAUGACAUUUAUCGUUCUAUGGAGGUCGAAAAUCUCGAUAUUCAAAUUCCUUAUACAGCCUUAACGUGGCAAGCAGCAGCGUACGAAUACGCAGGAACGAAUUCAAUCAUAAGACAAAGGAAAAGAAAAAGUCUAGAAUUCAGAACAUAAAGUUCUCGAUUGGAACAAGAAAGGGAAGAUUACUCUUGAUCCGGAAAUCGAAAAACAUUUUUCUGUGUUUUCCGCGAUUUCGGUUGAUUUAGGAAAUGACCUUUUGGAACAGUGUUUGCAACAACUAGAACAAUGUAUUGCGAAAAGACAUUUUUUAAUUUUUGAAAAAAGAGGGCCAGGUAAAAAACGUUUCUUUUUGUUCCGAAAUUUUCAUUUGACUUAUAGAAUCGUCUUUUUAGAACAAUUUAUAGAACAACUAAAACAAUCUAUAUCGAUAAGAAAUUAUUUGAUUUUUGAAAAAAGGACGGCAAGAUAAAAAAUUAUUUUUCUCGUUUUAUUGGAGAAUUGAUCGUUAUAAAACAAUAUUGCUUUGGAACAAUGUGGAACAAAGUUAGAACAACCUGAAACAACUUUAAAAAUUAUAAUUUUCAAAAAAAGGGGGGCUAACAUCAUACACUCCGCGGAUUGCGAAUCGAAAAUGCAGUAAUUGCAACUGUAAUUACGAUGUAAUAAGCAACGGGCAGAGUUUAGUAAUCGAUCGUUUAAGAAGCAAAGAAGCCUGUGGACUGUUACGACGCGAAUGAGAUUAUCCGCGCCCGCGUAAAUUUCGACAACGCGACCUUGGCAGAUGGAUACCGCUCGUCUCGAAUUAAGACAAGAGAUCCGAGUUCACCCAAUAAACGAUUUCGUUUUGGUAUUAAAAUUUGACCUCCAGUACUAAAUAGACGUUCUACUGGCGCUAAAGAAGGUAAAACUGUAUUAUACAAUUUAAAUAUUUAAAGUACUAUAUUAUAAUUAUGUAAAGAUUGUAACUCUUUAGAUUUAU
Molecule: long non-coding RNA, 2626 nt
Organism: Wasmannia auropunctata (little fire ant)
Lineage: Eukaryota; Metazoa; Arthropoda; Insecta; Hymenoptera; Formicidae
Exons: 3
Source: RefSeq, a predicted model, not a curated record